AACUGAAUAACGGAUACAGGUGCCUGCCGGAUGCCAAGGCAUACCGGAUGGCUUAAUAGGGAAGUUCGGUGUAAGACCGACGCGGUCCCGCCACUGUAACGGAAGAGUCUUCAGCAACAUUCGUCACUGGCAGCAUGUGCUGUUCGGGAAGACGGCUGAAGAUGUAGACGCCGCAGCCAGGAGACCUGCCUGUUUCGACAGCACAGC
Molecule: non-coding RNA, 207 nt
Filed under: Bacillus sp. (in: firmicutes)
Lineage: Bacteria; Bacillati; Bacillota; Bacilli; Caryophanales; Bacillaceae
Source: RNAcentral